This 253-nucleotide ribosomal RNA is filed under the name uncultured bacterium. RNAcentral's name for it is "partial 16S ribosomal RNA". It matches the Rfam family "Bacterial small subunit ribosomal RNA", at positions 524 to 776 of the family's 1533-position model. The record is from RNAcentral.
UACGUAGGGGGCAAGCGUUGUCCGGAUUUAUUGGGCGUAAAGAGCGUGUAGGCGGCCAGGUAGGUCUGCUGUGAAAACUCGAGGCUCAACCUCGAGACGUCGGCGGAAACCGUAUGGCUAGAGUCCGGAAGAGGAGAGUGGAAUUCCUGGUGUAGCGGUGAAAUGCGCAGAUAUCAGGAAGAACACCAAUGGCGAAGGCAGCUCUCUGGGACGGUACUGACGCUGAGACGCGAAAGCGUGGGGAGCGAACAGG